UAUAUGUGCGUGAAUCACAUCUGAAACAUUCCGUCAAAUAAAUGACUACUUUCGGACCAAUCGUCGACUUUUCAAAAGAUAGAAACUUUAAUUGCAGGUUUCUGCAAAAGACCGGAGAGAGUGUUGAAUCUCAGAACAAAACAAAAGACGAUCGGAGAGUGACGUCAUGAGUUUCAGGUGGAAGAGACGGGUAUAUAGGGAGGUGGAAAAAAGGUCUUGCCACAGUCCCCUUCGAACCUUCCACACAAUGGCUGCUGCUAAAACUUUCCUCGUCGCUCUCUGUUUGGGCUUGGCAGUGGCUGACGAAACCAUUCGGGAAAAGCGUGGUUUUAUCGGCGGCGGCUACGGAGGAGGCCACGGCGCAGGCGUGGGCGGAGGCUACAGCAGUGGCGGC
Long non-coding RNA from Penaeus monodon (black tiger shrimp), 394 nucleotides. RefSeq lists it as uncharacterized. NCBI's taxonomy places the organism in Eukaryota, Metazoa, Arthropoda, Malacostraca, Decapoda, Penaeidae. The transcript is spliced from 3 exons. The record is from RefSeq and is a predicted model, not a curated record.